GGAUAGCUCAGUCGGUAGAGCAUGAGACUCGAUCUCAGGGCUACGGGUUAGAGCCCCACGUUGGGCA
Non-coding RNA from Podarcis lilfordi (Lilford's wall lizard), 67 nucleotides. The record is from the annotation of a GenBank genome assembly. NCBI's taxonomy places the organism in Eukaryota, Metazoa, Chordata, Lepidosauria, Squamata, Lacertidae.